Linepithema humile (Argentine ant) is the source of this 1103-nucleotide RNA transcript. It is a transcript of the gene named transmembrane protein 223, with no coding region annotated. The record is from RefSeq and is a predicted model, not a curated record. NCBI's taxonomy places the organism in Eukaryota, Metazoa, Arthropoda, Insecta, Hymenoptera, Formicidae.
UUAAUAUUCAUAUAAAUUAUAAUGUUUGUAGAAAAAAUUUGGAAGUGAAGUUUAUGGAGUACAUUAACAUUUACUUGUGAAAAUUUUUUUAUUGACUUUAUGCAAUAUAACAUAAGAAGAAAUCUGUUUGAAAAUGUUGGGUGUAGUUUUGAGGCAUUCUAUACUUCCUAAAGUUUUAUUGACUGAACCACGAUCUAUUUAUGGAAUAACACAAAAAUACUUAAAAAAUGAUAAAGAUAUAUUAUCAACAGCAUUGAUUGUUAGAACAUUUCUAACAAAAUAUACAAGAUUAGUGCAACCAGCAAAUUUCCUUAAAUCUAGCAGAUUACCAGGAAGUUUAUUAGUACGACAAGGACAAACAUUACAAUUGGACGUAAAUUUAAAUGUACGGAAUAAUGUUCUUAUAUACAAAUAUGAAAAUGAUAGAUAUUUUCGAAUGUUACGAAUGUUUGCCAUUGGACAGUUAUUUGGCUGGUCAAUAUUGGCUCUCUAUACUUAUUCACCAACUUUCCUUGAAAUAUUCAACACUGACGUAAAGUUUAAAAAUUAUAUAAGAUAUAAUGGAUUGCGGCUUUUCACUUUUAUUUUUUCGGCUGUUGUAGGUCCUAUCAUGUAUGCUUUCAUUCAUUUUUUAUGCGCUCGUAAUAUCAAGUAUAUGAUUUUACAUAAAGGUGGUAAAACAAUUUCAAUUACUACUCAUCACUUGUGGAAAAAAUGCUGCAUGAAUUUACCAAUAGAAAUGGUAAAGAGUGUUUCACAUAGAACAGAUCGUGGAGUGGUUGUACCACUCAAACUAAAAAAUAAACGUUUUCACUAUGCGCUUGAUAAAAAGGGCACAUUCGUAAAUCCAAACCUUUUUGAUCACAUAGUGGGAUGAUUAUUCAAUUUUAGGAGUGCUGUAGAACCAACACGUCCUUGCCAGUAAUGGGUCCAAUAUAGAUCUUCUGGAUUGAUAUCGUUAUAGAAUACUACAUAGAAAUCACAUGGAAAAACUUAUUGCGCAAUACGCUUACCAAACAACUAAUGGUUGGAAAAAUUGUAUGACGAUAACGAAGCCCAGAGUGACCAGAAUCAGACCAAGAUUCAGAAGUAACAUGAGGCAA